UACGGAGGAUGCAAGCGUUAUCCGGAUUUAUUGGGUUUAAAGGGUGCGUAGGCGGAGAUUUAAGUCAGUGGUGAAAUGUUGCAGCUCAACUGUAACACUGCCAUUGAUACUGAGUUUCUUGAGUUCGGUUGAAGUAGGCGGAAUGUGUAAUGUAGCGGUGAAAUGCUUAGAUAUUACACAGAACACCGAUUGCGUAGGCAGCUUACUAAGCCGACACUGACGCUGAGGCACGAAAGCGUGGGGAUCGAACAGG
Molecule: ribosomal RNA, 253 nt
Filed under: uncultured bacterium
Lineage: Bacteria
Description: partial 16S ribosomal RNA
Rfam family: Bacterial small subunit ribosomal RNA
Source: RNAcentral